CUAGCUGUAUUUCCGUUCCGUCCCUUUAAAGGGCCUCUCCGAUGGCGCGUUGGAAAGUCCGGAUGCUUCCCUGUGAUUGGGCGGGGCUGCCCGCCGCUGACGCAACUUAGUAUAUAAAAGCCUGAGCGUUGAGCGGAGACCGGCUCAGUCCGGGUGGAUGUCGUGUCGGCGGGAGGGUCGGUGCAUCUAGCUUUCGACGCCCUUGCAGUCUGAGGACCUCAGGAGCUGGGGGUAAGAGGUGAAUUUAGUGCUGAAGGCAUGGCCCAGUGAGCUGCUUGUGGUGAUCUGUUCCUUUUCAGAAGAGCUGCCAGCCAACUGGCGAGAUGCCAUGUUCAUUGGAUUCUGACCUCUGCUAGUGUGCCUUAUCUCAGUCUGGAAGGAUCCCAAGGGCACAAAGGCCCUUGUGGGUGUGGAAGAGAAAUCAAGAGGGUAAAGUAGGUCACUCCACACCCAAUGAUUCCCUCCCCACAUCCCACAGAAACUCCAUCCCUGUGCCAGGAGCUGCCUGGAAUGCAGAUUACUGUAAGGAGAUCAUUGUGUCUGAGUAGAAGAGAUGAUGGUUCUGCCCAGAAGCCUCUUCUGAAUCUGCCAGGGGUCUAGAUUAGAAGAAAUGGGACCAGAUGAGAACACAGACAGACCGGAAACAAAGCAGACCAAUGGACAUGAGCGGCGGACAAUGAAAGCAAAACAUGUAGGAGCAGCCCCUCUGCGCUCCGGCCACACUUUCUGCCUCAUGCAAAAAAAUAAAAUAAAAAUCCCAGGCCCAGCCAAGCUUGGCCCCCAGGCUCUGGAUGGCGCUAAAAGCCACAGCAUUGUGUGUUGCUAAUGGGGGGGGUCUGCCCCCAUCCUCAACUCCAAACCAGCAUUGGUUUCUGUCAAAAGGAGCACCCGCGAUUAAUGGCACAAUCUCCCAUCACCCCUGCGGUGUAAGCGCUGGGUCCCGAACCCUGGAAACUGCAUUUUGAGAGACUCUGACGGCCGCCGACGUAAAGAUGGGGACGAGCUGUGGGAGAAGCAGAGCCUCGUCAGACCCCUGCCCCCUCCAGCUGUGACCGAGCAAGCUCUGCUGCCGCAGCCGCCGACGAGGUCGGAAUCGGGUGCAAGCGGCCAACCAGUCCCGUCUUCCCCCCCAGACCCAGGCCGCAGCUCGGAGGAUCGUACGGAGGCGCGUGAGGAAUGCCCUCUCCCUCCCCAGAUCGGCCUCUUCAGAUCGGGUCACUCCCAGCCGCAGGGGUCGUCUCGUGGGAGCCAGGCUGAUUCUGGAAAGGUGGCUGUCUGGGGUUUAGCAGAGGAGGCACCCUCCUCCUUCGGGGGCAGGAACGGUCUUCUCGUCGGGGAUGUCAUCAGCCGGACUCCCCGAGGUUCCCAGACAUGACUGCUGACUGAUGACCCUCGGCUUCUGAGGCUGUCGAGGGGAAACUGAGGAGCGUGGGCCUCCUUGGUCUGGCUCUAACCGGCCCAUCGCAGGAGCCCGUACUUGGUGAUGGAUUUGGAUCUGGAGGUCAGGGUGGGGGAGUGGAGUGGCCCAGGGAGGUCAGGAGCGUUCUGGUUUCACGUCCAGCUUCCCUUUCCGAGGCUGAAUUUGGGCUGCCGUGUCUCGGGGAGCUCGACUCUGACAAGGAGAAACCGACUCCCUUGCGCUAGGCUUUUGAUUGUCCAGCUUGAAUAGGGCUUUGGGGCUUAAAGAUGGCCCCUGUAGCCCAGCUCCAGGAAAGGAUGCGGAGAGCCUAUGCCACUGGCACCAGAACUGAGCAAUCCUCUUCCCGUUGGGCUAGCGGCGGGCUCCUGCCCUUCCUGGAACAACCAGUGGGAGGCUGCUGGCAACUCAGGGCAUGUGGAAGAGCCUAGGGAUGGCGGGCAAUAUUGGCAUGGCGAGAGUUUUCCUCCUGGAACUGUGAGGUUCGGAUGCGUUUCGAGCCAGAGGUAGAACUGAUGCCCUUUUGCUUGCAAAUUCUGUCUUCAACCUCCCUCUCUCUCUUCCACCAGGCCUCUUAGUUGGCACCACAUUCUGUGGUUUCAUUAUCCCUUGAACAUCACUUAGAGGUUUAGGGGCUGUGGGGUUCGCUAGGGCAAUUCAACGUGCCGCCGUUGAGCACCUCUUCUUCCCUCCCCGGAGAAUUCAGUUCCCACCAACUAGGAAAUGUGAAAAUGGGUUUGAUUCAACUGAGGGAUCGGGUCAGCAAGAGCUUCUGCGGGAGAUCCUUGCUUAUGCAGGUACAUAAUGGAGUCUGAAUUCUGACCCCUUCCUGGGACUCUUUCUCCAUCAGGACUGUACAGGGCGGCCCCUUGUUGUCACACUGAGGGACAUUAUCAAGGUGAGACGAAGCUGCGCUGUGACGGGAGGGGGAAGCAGUUAAGCAGGCUGAGCGGGGAGGCAGCCAGAUGCUGCGGCAUUCAAGGUCACAGGACCCUGGCCACACCCGGAGGAGGUGUCCCCAGGAGAAGAGAAAGUCAUAAUGCCAAGUGGGUUUUGUAACUCAAAGACAAAGUGGCCCGCUGGGAAGGCUUGAAGUAGCGACGUCUUUAAGCUGCCCGGUCUGGAUCCUUCGGAGCCUUUGAGUAGUAGCGACGGGAAUCUCAGGCUCCUUGGGACUCGGCCAAAACACCAGGCUCCAAAACCAGCUCCUCCUUAAUGCAGUUUGUAUGGGGAACAGCCUGUAAGAUCGGGCUAUCUUCCAGCACAGCUGACCGAGGACAUGCCAUGGGUUACCAAGAGGGUGCUCUGGAAGGUGUUUGCAGCAGAGCAGGUGAUGACAGUGUAGCCUUGAGCGGAAUUUUUUGUUCCUUUGUGUCUUCUCCCCUGUCUUCUAGUCAACUGCUAAACAUCAAGCUGCUCAGAAAGUUGGACAUGUGAAAAUCAGAGCGCCCUCUUCUCUUCAAGGAACGGACAUCUUCCCACCCUUCCUCCAGAACGAGCCUCUGACCCCAGUCGACUCCAGUUGGUUUUGAGUUUUGCCGAGCUCAAUGCAUAGAUUAAAUUGGAAUUUUCCAGG
RNA transcript from Ornithorhynchus anatinus (platypus), 2993 nucleotides. It is a transcript of the gene named immediate early response 2, with no coding region annotated. NCBI's taxonomy places the organism in Eukaryota, Metazoa, Chordata, Mammalia, Monotremata, Ornithorhynchidae. The record is from RefSeq and is a predicted model, not a curated record. The transcript has 5 exons.